CAGCAGCCGCGGUAAUACGUAGGUGGCAAGCGUUGUUCGGAAUAACUGGGCGUAAAGGAUGCGUAGGCGGUUACAUAAGUUAUAUGUUAAAUAUAUGGGCUUAACCCGUAGAGAGCAUAUAAAACUGUGUAACUAGAGUGCAGGAGAGGUAAGUGGAAUUCCUAGUGUAGCGGUGAAAUGCGUAGAGAUUAGGAAGAACACCAGUGGCGAGGGCGACUUACUGGACUGUAACUGACGCUGAGGCAUGAGAGCAUGGGGAGCAAACAGGAUUAGAUACCCUGGUAGUCCAUGCUGUAAACGAUGGGUACUAGGCGUGGGUUGUGAAUAGCAAUCCGUGCCGUCGCAAACGCAAUAAGUACCCCGCCUGGGGAGUACGAUCGCAAGAUUAAAACUCAAAGGAAUUGACGG
Molecule: ribosomal RNA, 408 nt
Filed under: uncultured bacterium
Lineage: Bacteria
Description: bacterial SSU rRNA
Rfam family: Bacterial small subunit ribosomal RNA
Source: RNAcentral